Molecule: RNA transcript, 886 nt
Organism: Mus musculus (house mouse)
Lineage: Eukaryota; Metazoa; Chordata; Mammalia; Rodentia; Muridae
Gene: Ctrc
Gene name: chymotrypsin C, transcript variant 1, non-coding
Exons: 8
Source: RefSeq, marked validated
AGUCCUCAACACCUGAACCAUGUUGGGAAUUACAGUCCUCGCUGCCAUCCUGGCCUGCGCCUCCAGCUGUGGGGACCCCACCUUCCCACCCAACCUGUCAGCCAGAGUGGUAGGAGGAGAGGAUGCUGUCCCCAAAGCUGGCCUUGGCAGGUCUCUCUUCAGUACCUCAGGGAUGACACUUGGAGGCACACCUGUGGGGGCAGUCUCAUCACCACCAGCCACGUCCUCACUGCUGCCCACUGCAUCAACACAAACUUGACCUACCGCGUGGGCCUGGGGAAGUAUAACCUGACAGUGGAGGAUGAGGAAGGCUCCGUGUACGCGGAGGUGGAUACCAUCUACGUCCAUGAGAAGUGGAACCGUCUUCUGCUGUGGAACGACAUCGCCAUCAUCAAGUUGGCUGAGCCUGUGGAGCUGAGCGACACCAUCCAGGUGGCCUGUAUCCCAGAGCAAGAUUCCUUGCUGCCUGGGGACUAUCCCUGCUAUGUCACUGGCUGGGGUCGCCUCUGGACCAACGGUCCCAUUGCUGAAGUGCUCCAGCAGGGUCUGCAGCCCAUAGUGAACCACACCACGUGCUCCAGGUUGGACUGGUGGUUCAUCAAGGUCCGGGAGACGAUGGUGUGCGCUGGUGGUGACGGUGUCAUCUCUGCCUGUAACGGAGACUCUGGUGGCCCACUGAACUGCCCAGUGGAAGACGGCUUGUGGCAGGUGCAUGGCAUCGUGAGCUUUGGUUCCAGUAGAGGCUGCAACACAUACAAGAAGCCCGUGGUCUUCACCCGUGUGUCUGCCUAUAUUGACUGGAUCAAGGAGAAAAUACAACUGUGAAGAGACGGUUCCAGAAGUCUCGACGCCCAUCUCCCAACAGCAAUAAAGCUCCUUCCAUAAA